CCUACGGGCGGCAUCAGUGAGGAAUAUUGGUCAAUGGACGAGAGUCUGAACCAGCCAAGUAGCGUGAAGGAUGACUGCCCUAUGGGUUGUAAACUUCUUUUAUAUGGGAAUAAAAUGUUCCACGUGUGGGAUUUUGUAUGUACCAUAUGAAUAAGGAUCGGCUAACUCCGUGCCAGCAGCCGCGGUAAUACGGAGGAUCCGAGCGUUAUCCGGAUUUAUUGGGUUUAAAGGGAGCGUAGGUGGAUUGUUAAGUCAGUUGUGAAAGUUUGCGGCUCAACCGUAAAAUUGCAGUUGAAACUGGCAGUCUUGAGUACAGUAGAGGUGGGCGGAAUUCGUGGUGUAGCGGUGAAAUGCUUAGAUAUCACGAAGAACUCCGAUUGCGAAGGCAGUUCACUGGACUGCAACUGACACUGAGGCUCGAAAGUGUGGGUAUCAAACAGGAUUAGAUACCCUUGUAGUC
This 460-nucleotide ribosomal RNA is filed under the name uncultured bacterium. RNAcentral's name for it is "partial 16S ribosomal RNA". It matches the Rfam family "Bacterial small subunit ribosomal RNA", at positions 338 to 795 of the family's 1533-position model. The record is from RNAcentral.